This 1449-nucleotide ribosomal RNA is filed under the name metagenome. RNAcentral's name for it is "bacterial SSU rRNA". It matches the Rfam family "Bacterial small subunit ribosomal RNA". The record is from RNAcentral.
AGAGUUUGAUCCUGGCUCAGAGCGAACGCUGGCGGCAGGCUUAACACAUGCAAGUCGAGCGGGCAUAGCAAUAUGUCAGCGGCAGACGGGUGAGUAACGCGUGGGAACAUACCUUUUGGUUCGGAACAACACAGGGAAACUCGUGCUAAUACCGGAUAAGCCCUUACGGGGAAAGAUUUAUCGCCGAAAGAUUGGCCCGCGUCUGAUUAGCUAGUUGGUGAGGUAACGGCUCACCAAGGCGACGAUCAGUAGCUGGUCUGAGAGGAUGAUCAGCCACAUUGGGACUGAGACACGGCCCAAACUCCUACGGGAGGCAGCAGUGGGGAAUAUUGGACAAUGGGCGCAAGCCUGAUCCAGCCAUGCCGCGUGAGUGAUGAAGGCCCUAGGGUUGUAAAGCUCUUUUGUGCGGGAAGAUAAUGACGGUACCGCAAGAAUAAGCCCCGGCUAACUUCGUGCCAGCAGCCGCGGUAAUACGAAGGGGGCUAGCGUUGCUCGGAAUCACUGGGCGUAAAGGGUGCGUAGGCGGGUCUUUAAGUCAGGGGUGAAAUCCUGGAGCUCAACUCCAGAACUGCCUUUGAUACUGAGGAUCUUGAGUUCGGGAGAGGUGAGUGGAACUGCGAGUGUAGAGGUGAAAUUCGUAGAUAUUCGCAAGAACACCAGUGGCGAAGGCGGCUCACUGGCCCGAUACUGACGCUGAGGCACGAAAGCGUGGGGAGCAAACAGGAUUAGAUACCCUAGUAGUCCACGCCGUAAACGAUGAAUGCCAGCCGUUAGUGGGUUUACUCACUAGUGGCGCAGCUAACGCUUUAAGCAUUCCGCCUGGGGAGUACGGUCGCAAGAUUAAAACUCAAAGGAAUUGACGGGGGCCCGCACAAGCGGUGGAGCAUGUGGUUUAAUUCGACGCAACGCGCAGAACCUUACCAGCCCUUGACAUCCCGGUCGCGGACUCCAGAGAUGGAGUCCUUCAGUUCGGCUGGACCGGAGACAGGUGCUGCAUGGCUGUCGUCAGCUCGUGUCGUGAGAUGUUGGGUUAAGUCCCGCAACGAGCGCAACCCCCGUCCUUAGUUGCUACCAUUUAGUUGAGCACUCUAAGGAGACUGCCGGUGAUAAGCCGCGAGGAAGGUGGGGAUGACGUCAAGUCCUCAUGGCCCUUACGGGCUGGGCUACACACGUGCUACAAUGGCGGUGACAAUGGGACGCUAAGGGGCAACCCUUCGCAAAUCUCAAAAAGCCGUCUCAGUUCGGAUUGGGCUCUGCAACUCGAGCCCAUGAAGUUGGAAUCGCUAGUAAUCGUGGAUCAGCAUGCCACGGUGAAUACGUUCCCGGGCCUUGUACACACCGCCCGUCACACCAUGGGAGUUGGUUUUACCUGAAGACGGUGCGCUAACCCGCAAGGGAGGCAGCCGGCCACGGUAGGGUCAGCGACUGGGGUGAAGUCGUAACAAGGUA